Molecule: ribosomal RNA, 604 nt
Filed under: uncultured Marmoricola sp.
Lineage: Bacteria; Bacillati; Actinomycetota; Actinomycetes; Propionibacteriales; Nocardioidaceae
Description: bacterial SSU rRNA
Rfam family: Bacterial small subunit ribosomal RNA
Source: RNAcentral
GUGGGGUAACGGCCCACCAAGGCUUCGACGGGUAGCCGGCCUGAGAGGGUGACCGGCCACACUGGGACUGAGACACGGCCCAGACUCCUACGGGAGGCAGCAGUGGGGAAUAUUGGACAAUGGGCGAAAGCCUGAUCCAGCAACGCCGCGUGAGGGAUGACGGCCUUCGGGUUGUAAACCUCUUUCAGCAGGGACGAAGCGCAAGUGACGGUACCUGCAGAAGAAGCACCGGCCAACUACGUGCCAGCAGCCGCGGUAAUACGUAGGGUGCGAGCGUUGUCCGGAAUUAUUGGGCGUAAAGGGCUCGUAGGCGGUCUGUUGCGUCGGGAGUGAAAACUCAGGGCUUAACCCUGAGCCUGCUUCCGAUACGGGCAGACUAGAGGUAUGCAGGGGAGAACGGAAUUCCUGGUGUAGCGGUGAAAUGCGCAGAUAUCAGGAGGAACACCGGUGGCGAAGGCGGUUCUCUGGGCAUUACCUGACGCUGAGGAGCGAAAGUGUGGGGAGCGAACAGGAUUAGAUACCCUGGUAGUCCACACCGUAAACGUUGGGCGCUAGGUGUGGGACUCAUUCCACGAGUUCCGUGCCGCAGCUAACGCAUUAAGCG